CGGGGCCGUGGCGCUGUCUGAGACGCUCUACUAUUCUCACAGUGAACCGGUCUCUUU
This 57-nucleotide microRNA precursor is filed under the name Danio rerio (zebrafish). RNAcentral's name for it is "Dre-Mir-128-P2b_pre stem-loop". It matches the Rfam family "mir-128 microRNA precursor family", at positions 15 to 71 of the family's 83-position model. The record is from RNAcentral. Lineage: Eukaryota; Metazoa; Chordata; Actinopteri; Cypriniformes; Danionidae.